GGCCGCUACAUCACCGGCUCCGACCCGGAAAUACUCACGCUUCUCCAUUCAGACGCUACGGACGCGGAGUUGCAACGUGAUCAUGGGCAGCAGGGAUUUUAUUUGGAUGAAGAAGAAUCAUAUUCAUCCAUACAUUCGUCCAUCCAUGCAGUGACGGUGGAAGCGCAUCGAGGCAAGCUGACCCCCCGCCCCCCGUGCAAACUUCUAUUCCCGUUUCGGUUUACUAAAACUGGCGCCCUGGGCGGCCGCCUAUGUUCUGUAAUUGAUUGACUGGCACUGCAUCCAUCUAUCUCAGUCUCCUGUGCUAUUGCGAAGUUCAUGGUAGCACAUGGCACCAUCGUACAGUACCCCGUGAAUGGGAUGCUUGUCCCGUAUUAUUAUUGACCUUAUAAUGAUAAUUAUGCUAACCUGGCUCGCGGCAUGGGGUACUCUGGAUGGCAUGUCGCUCUUUGCACGGUUUUUGCGCUUGCUGAGUUUUUACCUUUUCAUAAUGUUAUGCUUUUAACCAUAUUCCCCUAUUUGCAUAAAAAUAAUUCAUGCUCCAACCUAAUAAUGGAAGAUCACUGGAGAUUUACAUAUUUAUCCACAAAUAUUUAAGUUUUCUAAAUAAAAUAAAUGUAAACUUUUGCGAUUUUUUUUAUACAAAUGGGAGACAUUUCUUACGUGUGUCUGGCCAACUUUUAAUUUUAUAUUUGUACAAUACUGUUGAAAAGUCUUAGGCAGUCUAAGAAAAUGAUGCUCAAAUGAUCUUCAUAUUGGUGUAAAAAUGUAGGCUAUUGUUCACUCGACCAGUACCCUACCCCGUAUAGCUAAUCAAUGCCUCACUGACUUAAACUAGUUAAAUAGAUUAAUUCAUUGAAGUGGUAGUGAAAUUUAACGAAUACAUGGAAUGGCUAGGGUGCCCAUGAGGAGAGGUUUGGGAACUGAAGCGGUGUUCACCUAGCCAUCCAACAAGUUAUCAGUACAUUUUUGGAGAAAUUCUCGUUAGAUUUUGUUGUGUUACUCUUAAUUUUCGUAUGUUCUAAUGUUAAAUUGUGUUUUUUGUUUUGAGCAUAUAUACAUUUACUACUUAGAUAAAUAGCUUUAAACAGUUCCUUUGACUGCCUAAGACUUUUGCACAUAUUUGUCCAUGAAUUUCCUAUACCCGCUGGUCCUAUGCAGGGUUACGGGUGUCUGGAGCCUAUCCCGGAAGAUUAUAUUUAUGUUAUAAUAAGACCUUUAUGCUAGUUUUGCCCCAGAAAUACGGUUUGUUAUUUAAAGGUUUUCUUCAGCCAUUAGAUGGCGUCCUGCGCCUAACAACAGCAGCAAACCGCAGGCUUUGUUUGCGGCGCACGGGGCUCAUUUCACGCUCCAUGUACCAGUGUUACCCUCAAUUUGCACAAUAAAUCUCACGUCAUCUAAUUUUAUUAAAUGAA
Non-coding RNA from Paramormyrops kingsleyae, 1415 nucleotides. The record is from RefSeq and is a predicted model, not a curated record. Lineage: Eukaryota; Metazoa; Chordata; Actinopteri; Osteoglossiformes; Mormyridae.